This 301-nucleotide ribosomal RNA is filed under the name uncultured bacterium. RNAcentral's name for it is "partial 16S ribosomal RNA". It matches the Rfam family "Bacterial small subunit ribosomal RNA", at positions 509 to 808 of the family's 1533-position model. The record is from RNAcentral.
CAGCCGCCGCGGGAAUACGUAUGUCACGAGCGUUAUCCGGAUUUAUUGGGCGUAAAGCGCAUCUAGGUGGUUAUAUAAGUCUGAUGUGAAAAUGCAGGGCUCAACUCUGUAUUGCGUUGGAGACUGUAUAACUAGAGUACUGAAGAGGUAAGCGGAACUACAAGUGUAGAGGUGAAAUUCGUAGAUAUUUGUAGGAAUGCCGAUGGGGAAGCCAGCUUACUGGACAGAUACUGACGCUGAAGCGCGAAAGCGUGGGUAGCAAACAGGAUUAGAUACCCCAGUAGUCCCUGUCUCUUAUACA